Molecule: ribosomal RNA, 449 nt
Filed under: uncultured bacterium
Lineage: Bacteria
Description: partial 16S ribosomal RNA
Rfam family: Bacterial small subunit ribosomal RNA
Source: RNAcentral
AACGAACGCUGGCGGCAGGCCUAACACAUGCAAGUCGAACGCCCUAGCAAUAGGGAGUGGCAGACGGGUGAGUAACGCGUGGGAAUAUCCCCCUCAGUACGGAAUAGCCCAGGGAAACUUGGAGUAAUACCGUAUACGUCCGUGAGGAGAAAGAUUUAUCGCUGAGGGAUUAGCCCGCGUAGGAUUAGCUAGUUGGUGAGGUAAUGGCUCACCAAGGCGACGAUCCUUAGCUGGUCUGAGAGGACGAUCAGCCACACUGGGACUGAGACACGGCCCAGACUCCUACGGGAGGCAGCAGUGGGGAAUAUUGGACAAUGGGCGCAAGCCUGAUCCAGCCAUGCCGCGUGAGUGACGAAGGCCUUAGGGUUGUAAAGCUCUUUUGGCGGGGACGAUAAUGACGGUACCCGCAGAAUAAGCCCCGGCUAACUUCGUGCCAGCCGCCGCAGUAA